UGGUUCUGGCAGNGAUGAAGAACGCAGCGAAAUGCGAUAAGUAAUGUGAAUUGCAGGAUUCAGUGAAUCAUCGAAUCUUUGAACGCACAUUGCGCCCUCUGGUAUUCCGGGGGGCACGCCUGUUCGAGCGUCAUUUGUACCAAUCGAGCCUGCUCGGCAUUGGGCGUCGCCCCUCCAAGGGCGCACCCGAAAGGUAGCGGCGCGGUCGCCGGGCGAGGAACGCACUGGAAAAUCACCGUCUCCUGUCGUCCCGCGGCCGCCGCCGGAACCGGCCCCUCGUGGCCACCCCCAAUGAAUUGACCUCGGAUCAGGCGAGAAUACCCGCUGA
This 328-nucleotide unclassified non-coding RNA is filed under the name uncultured fungus. RNAcentral describes it as "partial contains 5.8S ribosomal RNA and internal transcribed spacer 2". The stretch from base 1 to 133 matches the Rfam family "5.8S ribosomal RNA", at positions 22 to 154 of the family's 154-position model. The record is from RNAcentral. Lineage: Eukaryota; Fungi.